Molecule: ribosomal RNA, 480 nt
Filed under: uncultured bacterium
Lineage: Bacteria
Description: partial 16S ribosomal RNA
Rfam family: Bacterial small subunit ribosomal RNA
Source: RNAcentral
GAUGAACGCUGGCGGCGUGCCUAAUACAUGCAAGUCGAACGCUUCACUUCGGUGAAGAGUGGCGAACGGGUGAGUAAUACAUAAGUAACCUGGCAUCUACAGGGGGAUAACUGAAGGAAACGUCAGCUAAGACCGCAUAGGUGUAGAGAUCGCAUGAACUCUAUAUGAAAAGUGCUACGGGACUGGUAGAUGAUGGACUUAUGGCGCAUUAGCUUGUUGGUAGGGUAACGGCCUACCAAGGCGACGAUGCGUAGCCGACCUGAGAGGGUGACCGGCCACACUGGGACUGAGACACGGCCCAGACUCCUACGGGAGGCAGCAGUAGGGAAUUUUCGGCAAUGGGGGAACCCCUGACCGAGCAACGCCGCGUGAAGGAAGAAGUAAUUCGUUAUGUAAACUUCUGUCAUAGAGGAAGAACGGUGGAUAUAGGGAAUGAUAUCCAAGUGACGGUACUCUAUAAGAAGGCCACGGCUAACUACG